AUUGAACGCUGGCGGAAUGCUUUACACAUGCAAGUCGAACGGUAGAGGGGGCAACCCCUCGAGAGUGGCGAACGGGUGAGUAAUAUAUCGGAACGUGCCCAGUCGUGGGGGAUAACGUAGCGAAAGUUACGCUAAUACCGCAUACGAUCUAAGGAUGAAAGCGGGGGAUCGCAAGACCUCGCGCGAUUGGAGCGGCCGAUAUCAGAUUAGGUAGUUGGUGGGGUAAAGGCUCACCAAGCCAACGAUCUGUAGCUGGUCUGAGAGGACGACCAGCCACACUGGAACUGAGACACGGUCCAGACUCCUACGGGCGGCAGCAGUGGGGAAUUUUGGACAAUGGACGCAAGUCUGAUCCAGCCAUUCCGCGUGCAGGAUGAAGGCCCUCGGGUUGUAAACUGCUUUUGUACGGAACGAAAAGGUCUCUCUUAAUACGGGGGGCUCAUGACGGUACCGUAAGAAUAAGCACCGGCUAACUACGUGCCAGCAGCCGCGGUAA
Molecule: ribosomal RNA, 496 nt
Filed under: uncultured bacterium
Lineage: Bacteria
Description: partial 16S ribosomal RNA
Rfam family: Bacterial small subunit ribosomal RNA
Source: RNAcentral